UCGGGAAUUUUGGGCAAUGGGCGCAAGCCUGACCCAGCAACGCCGCGUGAAGGAUGAAGUAUUUCGGUAUGUAAACUUCGUAAGAAUAGGAAGAAUAAAUGACGGUACUAUUUGUAAGGUCCGGCUAACUACGUGCCAGCAGCCGCGGUAAUACGUAGGGACCAAGCGUUGUUCGGAUUUACUGGGCGUAAAGGGCGCGUAGGCGGCGUGGUAAGUCAGCUGUGAAAUCUCCGAGCUUAACUCGGAACGGUCAGCUGAUACUGCUGUGCUAGAGUACAGAAAGGGCAAUCGGAAUUCUUGGUGUAGCGGUGAAAUGCGUAGAUAUCAAGAGGAACACCUGAGGCGAAGGCGGGUUGCUAGGCUGAUACUGACGCUGAGGCGCGAAAGCUAGGGUAGCAAACGGG
Molecule: ribosomal RNA, 404 nt
Filed under: uncultured bacterium
Lineage: Bacteria
Description: bacterial SSU rRNA
Rfam family: Bacterial small subunit ribosomal RNA
Source: RNAcentral